GAUGAACGCUGGCGGCGUGCCUAAUACAUGCAAGUCGAGCGAACAGACGAGGAGCUUGCUCCUCUGACGUUAGCGGCGGACGGGUGAGUAACACGUGGAUAACCUACCUAUAAGACUGGGAUAACUUCGGGAAACCGGAGCUAAUACCGGAUAAUAUAUUGAACCGCAUGGUUCAAUAGUGAAAGACGGUUUUGCUGUCACUUAUAGAUGGAUCCGCGCCGCAUUAGCUAGUUGGUAGGGUAACGGCUUACCAAGGCAACGAUGCGUAGCCGACCUGAGAGGGUGGUAGGCCACACUGGAACGGAGACACGGUCCAGACGCCUACGGGAGGCAGCAGUAGGGAAUCUUCCGCAAUGGGCGAAAGCCUGACGGAGCAACGCCGCGUGAGUGAUGAAGGUCUUCGGAUCGUAAAACUCUGUUAUUAGGGAAGAACAAAUGUGUAAGUAACUAUGCACGGCUUGACGGUACCUAAUCAGAAAGCCACGGCUAACUACGUG
RNAcentral lists this ribosomal RNA (497 nucleotides) under uncultured bacterium. RNAcentral's name for it is "partial 16S ribosomal RNA". It matches the Rfam family "Bacterial small subunit ribosomal RNA", at positions 28 to 507 of the family's 1533-position model. The record is from RNAcentral.